Sarcophilus harrisii (Tasmanian devil) is the source of this 72-nucleotide small nucleolar RNA. Ensembl annotates it as small nucleolar RNA, C/D box 1C. Lineage: Eukaryota; Metazoa; Chordata; Mammalia; Dasyuromorphia; Dasyuridae. The record is from Ensembl.
CUGAGCUAAUGAUGAUUUUAAAGUUAUCCCUGUCUGAAUCUUUUGUGUGGAUUCUGUCUCGCUGAGGCCCAG